UUCGCCUGUUUAUUCAAAAACAUGUCUGUGUGUAUAAAAUAUAAAGUCUAAUCUGCCCACUGAUUAAUUAAAGGGCUGCGGUAAUUUGACCGUGCGAAGGUAGCAUAAUCAAUAGUCUUUUAAUUGAGGUCUUGAAUGAAUGAUUGAACGAAAAAUUAAUUGUCUUUGUUUUAAUAGUAAAAAUUAACUUUUGAGUGAAAAGGCUUAAAUAAUGUAAGGGGACGAUAAGACCCUGUAAAACUUUAUAUAAAUUUAUUUAUUUUUAAAUUAGGUUUAAAAUAAGUUAAUAGAAUUUGUAUUUUGUUGGGGAGAUAUAAAUAGAAUAUUAAAUAUCUGUUUAUAAAAUUUUAUAAAAAUAAUUAGAAUGUGAUCUUUCUUUGGGGAUUAAAAGUGUAAGUUACUUUAGGGAUAACAGCGUAAUUUAUUCUGAGAGUUCUUAUUGACGAAUGUAGUUGCGACCUCGAUGUUGAAUUAAAGUUUUGGUUGGGUGAAGUUGCUAAAUUAGUAGGUCUGUUCGACCUUAAAAAUUUUACAUGAUUUGAGUUCAAACCGGUGUAAGCCAGGUUGGGUUUCUAUCU
RNAcentral lists this ribosomal RNA (578 nucleotides) under Euryrhynchus wrzesniowskii. RNAcentral's name for it is "partial 16S ribosomal RNA". It matches the Rfam family "Bacterial large subunit ribosomal RNA", at positions 1795 to 2643 of the family's 2925-position model. Lineage: Eukaryota; Metazoa; Arthropoda; Malacostraca; Decapoda; Euryrhynchidae. The record is from RNAcentral.